GACGAACGCUGGCGGCGUGCUUAACACAUGCAAGUCGCACGGGACUGGGGGCAACUCCAGUUCAGUGGCGGACGGGUGCGUAACACGUAAGCAACAUGUCCAGGGGUGGGGAUAGCCGGCCCAACGGCCGGGUAAUACCGCAUGCAGUCACCUGCGGCAUCAAGGGUGACGAAAGCCGGGCAACCUGGCGCCCAUGGAGUGGCUUGCGGCCUAUCAGCUAGNGGUGGGUAAUGGCUCACCAAGGCUACGACGGUAGCUGGUCUGAGAGGAUGACCAGCCACAUUGGGACUGAGACACGGCCCAGACUCUACGGGAGGCAGCAGUGGGAAUAUUGCGCAAUGGGCGAAUGCCUGAC
This 355-nucleotide ribosomal RNA is filed under the name uncultured bacterium. Its description in RNAcentral is "bacterial SSU rRNA". It matches the Rfam family "Bacterial small subunit ribosomal RNA", at positions 28 to 387 of the family's 1533-position model. The record is from RNAcentral.